AUUGAACCCUGGCGGCAUGCUUUACACAUGCAAGUCGAACGGCAGCGCGGGCUUCGGCCUGGCGGCGAGUGGCGAACGGGUGAGUAAUGCGUCGGAACGUGCCCAGUAGUGGGGGAUAGCCCGGCGAAAGCCGGAUUAAUACCGCAUACGACCUGAGGGUGAAAGCGGGGGACCGAAAGGCCUCGCGCUAUUGGAGCGGCCGAUGUCGGAUUAGCUAGUUGGUGGGGUAAAGGCUUACCAAGGCGACGAUCCGUAGCUGGUCUGAGAGGACGACCAGCCACACUGGGACUGAGACACGGCCCAGACUCCUACGGGAGGCAGCAGUGGGGAAUUUUGGACAAUGGGGGCAACCCUGAUCCAGCCAUGCCGCGUGCGGGAAGAAGGCCUUCGGGUUGUAAACCGCUUUUGUUCGGGAAGAAAUCCUCUGGGCUAAUACCCCGGGGGGAUGACGGUACCGGAAGAAUAAGCACCGGCUAACUACGUG
RNAcentral lists this ribosomal RNA (484 nucleotides) under uncultured bacterium. RNAcentral describes it as "partial 16S ribosomal RNA". It matches the Rfam family "Bacterial small subunit ribosomal RNA", at positions 28 to 507 of the family's 1533-position model. The record is from RNAcentral.